AGAAAGCAACUAUAAGAAAAGUGGGGGUUAUAAAGGAAACAACAGACUUACCGAUGUUCUUCCCCACCUUUGGCGUCUGACUUGAGAGGAUCCAAAGAACUUAGUUGAUGACAUUUGGCUGGAACUAUCGAAUUCUUUAAUGAUGAUCACGCUGAGAUUCUGGAGUACGAGGUGAAGCUGAUGAUGAUCUCUGGUUUUCUACAUUAAUAUGAUCUGUUGCAGGAGGCCUGACAAUUGAGCUUGACCUUCUACUAUGCUGAACACCAAAAAGUAUACGGUGUCAGCAGUUUGUAAGAAAAUGCGAGGAGUAACUGACCAAAGUUGUAAUUUUAUGUAGUAUAUACAAUUCAGAUUUAUCAUAAUAGAAGUAAAUUAUGUAAUUUUGAAAUCCA
Beta vulgaris subsp. vulgaris (sugar beet) is the source of this 392-nucleotide long non-coding RNA. RefSeq lists it as uncharacterized. Lineage: Eukaryota; Viridiplantae; Streptophyta; Magnoliopsida; Caryophyllales; Amaranthaceae. The record is from RefSeq and is a predicted model, not a curated record. The transcript has 2 exons.